CGUGAUGAAAUUCAAGCGUGAUAGUGCGAUUCCUUCAUAUUUGGCUGGAAAACCACAAGUGGCUAUCGUUAGAGCACACCAAUAUUUAAAUGUGAAUAAAUCUUUUGUGUCUCGUUCCACCCCAAUAAAUGCCGAAUAUUAUUUCGAAAAUAUUCUGGAGGGUAUAUUAAAGCCUUGGGCACGCAAACAUUUUGGACGCAGACCUUGGACAUUCCAACAGGACUCAACACAAUCGCACAGAGCACGCGCCACCCAAGAAUGGUUACAAAAUGA
Musca vetustissima is the source of this 273-nucleotide long non-coding RNA. RefSeq lists it as uncharacterized. The record is from RefSeq and is a predicted model, not a curated record. NCBI's taxonomy places the organism in Eukaryota, Metazoa, Arthropoda, Insecta, Diptera, Muscidae. The transcript has 2 exons.